Long non-coding RNA from Catharus ustulatus (Swainson's thrush), 632 nucleotides. RefSeq lists it as uncharacterized. NCBI's taxonomy places the organism in Eukaryota, Metazoa, Chordata, Aves, Passeriformes, Turdidae. The record is from RefSeq and is a predicted model, not a curated record. The transcript has 5 exons.
CUGGAGCCCUGCGCAUGGAACAGAGGAACAGAGGAAGCUGUGAGAUGCUGACUGAAGCUUCAACAGUUUUCUCCUCUCUCUGGCUGAGAUGCUUCUGUGAUGAAAGAAAGUAGGACCUGGGACAAGACAGGCAUGAUCUGGAGGCUUCAGAGCAUCAUCUUGGGAAAUGAUAACUCAUUUCCUAGUAUCAGUCAAUGUCUGUAUCCACCUGCUUUUGGAGGAGAAUGCCAGGAUGAUGUCACCCAAAGGCUGCAGGUCAAUGCUGCAGCACAAGUGGGAACAGCAUUUUCCCUGUUCAAGUGCCUCUACUAUUCAGCGGAAUGGUUUUUGCAAUGGGAGUUUGAGGCUUUUCCAGCAGUGCUGCUGCACCCAGGGAAGAUGCACAGCACAGCUCUUUCAGUAGCUUUUGAGGAUGUGGUACUACGUGAAUGAGGCUGGAUAUGAGAAGUUGGAAAAAGACAGCAGGAAGAAGAAAGCGUGUAGGGUCAGCCUGGAGUUUACUUCUUGCUCCUUCUUCACUGCAGCUAUUUUGAGACUAGGAAAAAGUUGACUUGGAAGACUCUUGCUCCUCUUGCUGUGCAGGCACUGACUCAAGAAGAGCUGGAUGCAGACACAGCACAGCUGAAGCCAGA